AUGAUGGAUUGGUUAUCCGCUUAAAAUAUGGCGAAAAACAGCACUUUGGAUAAAUGAACUGCCUGCAGUUUUGAUGAAAUUACUGACAAAUAUGCAAUUGCCUCACUUGGCCUAAAGUUCAACGAUUUCCGUGUCAAUGGCAUUUUCUCAAUCUACUGUAUUUGUGAACAAUCGCCAUAUCUUUUCUACUCUUUUCUCUAAAUUUCAACCCUAUUCUUCAUCGCCACCACAAAUUUCGGACGAUGCCCCUAGUCUCAACCGCCGUCUCAAUCUUGAAACACCACCGUUCAAAGUUGCGGUGGUCCCACUUCCGUUCUCUCCUCAGUACCACCAGUAACCUCCUCAACCCGUCUCAGUUUUCCCAAAUUGCCCUUGAAAUCCGCAACAAUCCUCGCCUUGCCCUCCGUUUCUUCCAUUUCACUCUUAGUAAUACUGUCUGCUGCCAUUCUCUUCUAUCCUAUGCUACCAUAAUUCACAUUCUUUGUCAUUCCAGGCUUAAGACUAAGGCCGAAAGCUUAAUUCGGUUAGCCUUUCGAAAUUCCCAGAAGCCCACCAAUCCAGUUCUUCAAGCCCGGCUCCCAUUUUGGAAAUCCUGAUAAAAACUUAUAGGACUUGUGGUUCUGCAUCAUUUGUGUUUGAUUUGUUAGUAAAAGCUUGUUUAGAGUCGAAAAAGAUUGACCAAGCUCUUGAUAUAUUUAGAAAGUUGAACUCCAAGAAUGUGUUUGUAAGAACUAGUACUUGUAAUUCUUUGAUUGAGUUGUUUUCCAAGAGUCGAGGUUGUUUUGCUGCAUACGAUCUGUACAGGGAAAUUUUUUGUUUUAAUGGUGAAAGUGGUGUUUACUAUAGGAGAGGCGCAAAGGGUUUUUUUCCAAAUGUGAAUACGUUUAAUGUGCUGAUGGUUGCAUUUUACAGAGAAAGAUUGGUGGAGAAUGUGGAGGAGUUAUGGAAAAAAAUGGAAAAAGUGGUUUGCAAGUCGAAUUCAUAUGGUUAUAUAGUUAUAGUGUUCUAAUGGCCGUGUAUUGUGGCAAUGCGAGAAUGGAGGAUGCCAUGAGGGUAUGGGAGGAAAUGCAGAUUAAAGGUGUGAAGUGUGAUGCAGUGGUUUACAAUACACUUAUUGAUGGAUUUUGUGGGAUUGGAGAGAUUGGGAGGGCCGAGGAGAUCUAUAGAGACAUGGUAAUGAAUGGUUUGGAGAGUAACUGUGUUACUUUUGAGAAUCUCAUAAAUGGAUAUUGUAAGAUUGGGGAUGCUGAUUCUGCAAUGUUAUUGUACAAGGACAUGUGAAGGGAAGGUUUUAAUUUGGAUAGUUUGACGGUUGAUGCAGUUACUAGAGUGCUUUGUGAUAAGGGCGACAUUUCUCCUGCUUUGUAUGUUUUGAUGGUUCUAUCGAGGAAACAUGAUGUUAUUCCAAAGAAGGAGAGUUACCAAGUUUUGAUAAAAUGUUUUUGUCAAGAGGGGAAGAUGGAAGAGGCUUUCAGGCUUCAGGCAGAGAUGGUAGGGAAAGGAUAUGAACCUGAUUCAGAGACAUAUGGUGCUUUUAUUGAUGGGUAUUUGAAACAAGGGAAUGAAACAAUGGCUGGUAAAUUGAGGAAAGAAAUCCCAACAAGUAAGUUUCCUCGGAGGAGAAAUAGAGAUGAUAUCAGUUUACACCAUUUGCAGCACUUUUGAGCACAGUCUGGAAAGUGCAAGCUUCUAGUUGAAGCAAAAUGAUAGAGAAUUAAUGUCAGAGAGCAGGAAGUAGUCAAAGAUUGAAAAGAGAUGAAGCCAUUGAGAGAAGCCAUGACAAGAAUGCCAUUGUAACAGAUAUCUGAUACCUACUGCAUAGCCUUUGAGGACAAAACGUUUCAUCAGCUCUGAGCAGAAGAUCAACAAUGCUUGCGCUCGCUGCAGCUAAUGUGAGAAUGGACAAAACCUAUUUAUUGAAACAAACUUUGUUAUGCUUUAAAACUAGUAUCUCUGUACAUGGAUCAGAGAACAGGAAUUACCAAGUCUCCUACAACAAUGACGAGCAAUAUUCCCGACUGACUAAUUGGGCAUUUAACCAGGAUGGUGUAUCCAUCGAGGAGUGCCAAAGUGAAACUCCAGUGUGUGACCAAGCCCAUGACUGUUACCAAGAAGCUGUGAUUUAACAUGUGGAAACAGAAGAAACUUAUUGCAUUUUCCUAAUGAAGACAUAAUGUCUGAGUCAGCAAAUAAUAAGUUGGCUGACCUUUCUACCCAAAACCAUUAAAGAUAUAUUGGCGAUGGAUUUCUAAUGUUUAUCUUUCAGAUAUAUUGGCGAUCAUAUGGUUAAAGAACAGAAGGUAACCGCUGGCGCAGAUGGGGAUGUAAAUCUACCUGCAAAGAUGCCUAUGCAGAAAGAAUUGUAUCAGUACUAAAAUUUACCAAAAGGCUGUAUAGCUGUAGAACCCAACUCGUAAUGACAUGAAGAAAAGAGAAGCUGAAGAGAAGAUGAUCUGACCAAGUCUCAGAAUAAAGCUUGCCCAGGUUCCCACAGAACCCGGCACAGAAUCCAGGGCCAUGUGACUUGUUUCAAGGGAUCUACGUCAACAGAUCCACCUCAAUGAAGGACGGUGAUUGCCAUUUUUUGUUUGCAAACUCAUUAAAUACUUCAAAUUGAAUUCUAAAUCUUUCCAAACUUCGCAUCAAACCCAUCCCUAAGUUCUUGAACCCAGUCCACCAAUCUGUGUAUUCAAGAAUUCUCAAGAAGUUCGUUUCUUUUCAGUCAUCUUUUAUAAGAAUUGUAUCUCUGUUUUAGUGAUGAUCAGACUAUAAAAGAGUCGGCAUGGAAAAAUGGGAGAUCUGUGGUAGGAGAAUGUGUGCAAGUUACGUCAAGAGUACUUUUCUGUCUUGAAAAUGUUAUUCUUUUUGGAAGAUUAGGAUGCCUUAACUGUGUGCUUUAGUGGAAUUUUGAUUCGUGAAAUGUAAUGUUGUGUUGGUUGAAAAUGAAGUUCAACGUGUAAAAAUGGCUUUAAUCA
Long non-coding RNA from Olea europaea var. sylvestris, 2975 nucleotides. RefSeq lists it as uncharacterized. Lineage: Eukaryota; Viridiplantae; Streptophyta; Magnoliopsida; Lamiales; Oleaceae. The record is from RefSeq and is a predicted model, not a curated record. The transcript is spliced from 3 exons.